This 422-nucleotide ribosomal RNA is filed under the name uncultured bacterium. Its description in RNAcentral is "partial 16S ribosomal RNA". It matches the Rfam family "Bacterial small subunit ribosomal RNA", at positions 360 to 774 of the family's 1533-position model. The record is from RNAcentral.
AAUUUUGGACAAUGGGGUAACCCCUGAUCCAGCCUUCACGAGUGCAGGAUUAAGGCCUUCGGGUUUUAAAGUACUUUUGGCAGAGAAGAAAAGGUAUCUCCUAAUACGAGAUAUUUCUGACGGUAUCUGCAGCAUAAGCACGGGCUAACGUCUUGCCAGCAGCCGCGGUAAUACGUAGGGUGCAAGCGUUAAUCGGAAUUACUGGGCGUAAAGCGUGUGUAGGCGGUUCGGAAAGAAAGAUGUGAAAUCCCAGGGCUCAACCUUGGAACUGCAUUUUUAACUGACGAGCUAGAGUAUGUCAGAGGGGGGUAGAAUUCAACGUGUAGCAGUGAAAUGCGUAGAUAUGUGGAGGAAUACCGAUGGCGAAGGCAGCCCCCUGGGAUAAUACUGACGCUCAGACACGAAAGCGUGGGGAGCAAACA